RNAcentral lists this ribosomal RNA (170 nucleotides) under uncultured eukaryote. Its description in RNAcentral is "partial small subunit ribosomal RNA". It matches the Rfam family "Eukaryotic small subunit ribosomal RNA", at positions 1662 to 1828 of the family's 1831-position model. The record is from RNAcentral.
GUACACACCGCCCGUCGCUACUACCGAUUGAAUGGUUAUAGUGAGCAUAUGGGAUCAGUAGAAUUAGACUGGCAACAGUCUUUCUCUGCAGAGAACUAUGGCAAACUAGGCUAUUUAGAGGAAGUAAAAGUCGUAACAAGGUUUCCGUAGGUGAACCUGCAGAAGGAUCA